Molecule: ribosomal RNA, 254 nt
Filed under: uncultured bacterium
Lineage: Bacteria
Description: partial 16S ribosomal RNA
Rfam family: Bacterial small subunit ribosomal RNA
Source: RNAcentral
UACGUAGGGUGCAAGCGUUAUCCGGAAUUAUUGGGCGUAAAGAGCUCGUAGGCGGUUUGUCGCGUCUGCUGUGAAAACUGGGGGCUCAACCCCCAGCCUGCAGUGGGUACGGGCAGACUAGAGUGCGGUAGGGGAGAUUGGAAUUCCUGGUGUAGCGGUGGAAUGCGCAGAUAUCAGGAGGAACACCGAUGGCGAAGGCAGGUCUCUGGGCCACUACUGACGCUGAGAAGCGAAAGCAUGGGGAGCGAACAGGG